CAGUAGCCGCGGGAACACGUAGGUGGCAAGCGUUGUCCGGAAUUAUUGGGCGUAAAGGGCUCGCAGGCGGUUUCUUAAGUCUGAUGUGAAAGCCCCCGGCUCAACCGGGGAGGGUCAUUGGAAACUGGGAAACUUGAGUGCAGAAGAGGAGAGUGGAAUUCCACGUGUAGCGGUGAAAUGCGUAGAGAUGUGGAGGAACACCAGUGGCGAAGGCGACUCUCUGGUCUGUAACUGACGCUGAGGAGCGAAAGCGUGGGGAGCGAACAGGAUUAGAUACCCCUGUAGUCCCUGUCUCUUAUAC
RNAcentral lists this ribosomal RNA (301 nucleotides) under uncultured bacterium. RNAcentral's name for it is "partial 16S ribosomal RNA". It matches the Rfam family "Bacterial small subunit ribosomal RNA", at positions 509 to 807 of the family's 1533-position model. The record is from RNAcentral.